This is a long non-coding RNA of Clupea harengus (Atlantic herring), 1637 nucleotides long. Lineage: Eukaryota; Metazoa; Chordata; Actinopteri; Clupeiformes; Clupeidae. The record is from Ensembl.
UCUAGUUGUAUGCACAGGCUUUAAGAUAAACUAUUUAGUAGGUUACCCUUAGUUUAGGCCAUAAUGGAAAACACAUUGACUUGAAAUAUGGGGUAGACUAAAAAUACUACUACUAAAUACUAAAAUUGGACAGUUCAGACGAUUUUUCAGGAACAACACAUUUUCGAAAAAUAUAAACUUCAAUUUUUUUAAGAAAUGCAAGCGGACACACAAUGCAUCAACUUUAAAUAUGGUGACCAGAUACAAGCAGACCAAAUGUGGGACGAGUAGCCUAGUGUUUGUGUGGGACAUGUCAACACCACCAAGAGGAGUUCACCGGCCCCAUGCACGUCUGCACGGUUUGAUGGACGGCCGUCACAGCCUCUCUUCUCAGCAACAGGAUAUAAGCCAGGCUAUUAGAAAUCCUUGGCUGUGUUGCAUUUGUAUGAGCCAGCGUGCUGAUUUUGAUGUACUGCUUUUAAGCCUCAACAGCAUAAAUGACUUACAGUAUGUGCCAGGUAGGUACAAGAAUGGAUCCAUGUGUUCUUAUUUCUGACAAUUAAAAACUAUGCAGGACAUUUAUCGCAAUAUCUAGGAUGGACAGAGGGUCAACAUGCUGUGCAGUGACACCUGGUCACCCUAACUGUGACCUCAUCUUCUAUGUGACCUCAUAAGCAGAUGUAUCAGGUUAAUAGCUUAUGACAUGAAGAGCAUGUCAUUAAUACAUCCCUAAUUGUUCUCUCCCUCUGGAUAUAGAGGUGGGGUGGUCAUCACGGUCUGAAAUCUUGAUGUGAAGUUUCAUGGUUCGAAACUGACUGAAAAUCAUGUUGAUUUCUGCCCACCCUGUGACCUCAGACAUGGACCCAUAUUCAUUCAAAGGACAUGACAGGACCACAGUGAACUUCUCCCAGGUCUCUAUGGGUGCAUGCUUUAUUGAAGUCGCUGACGCACUACAUUUUUGGUGCAAAUAGAUUAUGUGCACAUCCAAAGUUAAGAUAUGGUUCAGAUUAUCAGACAUGGUAAGAUUUAUCAUGCUAAAGAAAUGUAUGUAGCCUUUUUUACUAAUGUUACAAGUGCAUGUGUUGCCCUGCGGUAUCAUGGUAUACUGGGGUAUUUAGAAAUCCGGAAAGUAUGAUUUUCAAUACUGUCCUAUUAAAUUAUAUUAAGGGGUUAUUCAUUUGAAAACAAGCUCCCUGACAAUUAGCUUGCCUUUAGCCAAGUCUAGUCACGCCUUAAAAAAUACACUGAAAAAUGUGAUACAAGGCAUGAUUAAGGUAUUUUCCCCAUCAUAAUUCAAGGGAUUAUUAAUGAGUUGCAUGUUUGAAGUACAAGUUUUUUGUUUUGUUUUCAAGGCCCAACUCAAAAGGUCUGUGUUGACAAUGCAUAGCCUAUUUAGUGUGAACCCUUUUUGGAUACAUAUACAAGAAGAGUGAGAUCAAGAAUAAUUUGAAAAUGGUGUUUUUGCGGACUUUAACGUAGUUAUCUACUUAGUUUUAGACUAAAUCUCCUUACUGCUGUUUUAAAAAGAGCAAGAUUUUGUGUGUUUUGCUUAUGGAAUGAAGUCAAAAAUGUAUUAUUUUGUUUGUAUUUAUUUAAUGAAAUGUAACCAUAUUCUGAUUUGAUUAUGCUUUUCUUUUCUACCUUGUAUAUAUUAAAUG